GGUCCAUUCGUCUAGGGGUUAGGACGUCAGGUUUUCAUCCUGGUAACAGGGGUUCGAAUCCCCUAUGGACUA
This 72-nucleotide transfer RNA is filed under the name Bacteroidota bacterium. RNAcentral's name for it is "Bacteroidetes bacterium (groundwater metagenome) tRNA-Glu". It matches the Rfam family "tRNA". Rfam says of the family: Transfer RNA (tRNA) molecules are approximately 80 nucleotides in length. The record is from RNAcentral. Lineage: Bacteria; Pseudomonadati; Bacteroidota.